Molecule: ribosomal RNA, 1335 nt
Filed under: Triticum aestivum (bread wheat)
Lineage: Eukaryota; Viridiplantae; Streptophyta; Magnoliopsida; Poales; Poaceae
Description: partial small subunit ribosomal RNA
Source: RNAcentral
AUGGCGGCCGACGACGCCGACGACGCGCCGCCGACCAAGCCCCCUCCCCCGGACGCCGACGGCGCAGGCCAGGCCGGCGCCGAGGCCCUGGCGGCCUACCUGGGCGUCGCCUUCGCGCUCUUCCUCGCCUCGCUCCCGGCCGGCGCGCGCCACGUGGCCUCGCUGCAGUCGCGGGGCCGCAUCCUGGCCACGCGCCUCCUCGCCGCCGAGGACCAGCUGCGCCAGCUGCGGGCCCGCCGCCGCGAGGACGCCCGGGCCAACGCGCGCGCCGCCGAGAUCUUCGCGGGCCACCGCGCGUCCUGGGCCGAGGCCGAGCGCCGCCUGCUAGCCCGCGCCGCGGCCGCGGCCGACGAGGCCGCCUCCCUCCGCGCGCGCCUCGCCGACGCCGAGGCCCAGGCCGCCGCGCUCCGGGCCCGCGCCGACCGCCUCGAGCGCGACGCCGCCGACCGCGACGGGCUGCUCAACGCGCUCCUCGCCGCCACGGGCAACGGCGCCGGGCAGGACGAACCCGGUGCGCGGCAGCACCAGCGCGCGCCGGAUCCGGCCGAGGGCUACGGCGACACCGACGCGGAGGCCCUGGCCGCGGCCGCCGCGCUCUACGCCCAGCAGCGCCAGCAGCAGGACGGCUUCGGCGGCGGCGACGACUUCUACACCUCCUCCUCCUCGUCCUCCGCGGCGGCGGCGUCGGGAAUGCCGCCCUGGAUGGACUCGCGCUCCAAAGGGUGGCAGGACAUGAAGUAUGAAUCAGUUGAGUCAAUGUACAACACAAAGCUUGCUGUACCACGGAGAGAAUCACCUUGGAAGGUGGAUGUGGAAUCGUCAGGAGUUCCUGCAAAGCUCCGGCUGCUUGAGCAGGAGUUAAUUAAUCUGGAGAAGGUUGGAGAUGGAGAUCUAUCCAAGAUCCCGUUGGUGAUGAGGAAGCAAGUAAAGAGAUACCAAACUCUUGCUGGGAAGAUCGAUGAUCUUUGCAAACGGAUGCAAGCUAAUGACCCCUGCGAUUCAACACUCAACUCGGAGUUGAGAACACAGCGGCAAACAGAGUACUUGCUGGAAGCAUUCCACCUUCAGCACCGAGCAGCUGAAACAAGGCAGAAGCUGGGCACAGUGCAAGCAGAGACCGCGAAAAGCAGCUUCUGCGAUGAGCUGCCAGCAGAAGCCAAAGUGAGCACAAGAAGAGCACUAAGUGCAGUCAGGAACAAUUUCAAGGAAAUCCAGCGAAGCCUGGAGAUUUGGCUGGCGAGGAUCCUCGGAGACCUCGAGGGCAUGCUGGCGAGGGACGGGGCAUCCCGGAUAAGAGAGUACAUUCUGUCCCCCUACGCGUCUGCUGUUCGAUGA